UCGGACGUGGUGCGUGGAACACACCCGCUAAUAAUGAAGUGGCAUAGUCUUGGUUGCAUGCACGCGGGAGACCGGGUUCGAUUCUCGGCGUCCGAA
This is a non-coding RNA of Mycena polygramma, 96 nucleotides long. NCBI's taxonomy places the organism in Eukaryota, Fungi, Basidiomycota, Agaricomycetes, Agaricales, Mycenaceae. The record is from the annotation of a GenBank genome assembly.